UCGCAAUUGGCGGGCGGUCUACACAUGCAAGUCGAGCGGCAGCGGGGAAAGUAGCUUGCUACUUUUGCCGGCGAGCGGCGGACGGGUGAGUAAUGCCUGGGAAAUUGCCCAGUCGAGGGGGAUAACAGUUGGAAACGACUGCUAAUACCGCAUACGCCCUACGGGGGAAAGCAGGGGACCUUCGGGCCUUGCGCGAUUGGAUAUGCCCAGGUGGGAUUAGCUAGUUGGUGAGGUAAUGGCUCACCAAGGCGACGAUCCCUAGCUGGUCUGAGAGGAUGAUCAGCCACACUGGAACUGAGACACGGUCCAGACUCCUACGGGAGGCAGCAGUGGGGAAUAUUGCACAAUGGGGGAAACCCUGAUGCAGCCAUGCCGCGUGUGUGAAGAAGGCCUUCGGGUUGUAAAGCACUUUCAGCGAGGAGGAAAGGUUGAUGCCUAAUACGUAUCAACUGUGACGUUACUCGCAGAAGAAGCACCGGCUAACUCCGUG
This 490-nucleotide ribosomal RNA is filed under the name Aeromonas hydrophila. RNAcentral describes it as "bacterial SSU rRNA". It matches the Rfam family "Bacterial small subunit ribosomal RNA", at positions 37 to 507 of the family's 1533-position model. The record is from RNAcentral. Lineage: Bacteria; Pseudomonadati; Pseudomonadota; Gammaproteobacteria; Aeromonadales; Aeromonadaceae.